This 251-nucleotide unclassified non-coding RNA is filed under the name rhizosphere metagenome. Its description in RNAcentral is "partial ribosomal RNA internal transcribed spacer region". The record is from RNAcentral.
GUAGGUGAACCUGCGGAAGGAUCAUUAACAAUUACGUGUUUACACGUAUACCUUUUUACCCCCAUGAACUUUUCUACUAAUUUUAAAAGUAUUCCUUGAGAAGGACUGCGCUUGUCUUGAUAGUUAUGCUAUCUUUCUUUUUCCUCCGGGCAAAAGCAAGGUAUCGUCUCUUUCAUUGCACUGUGCUUCUUUCGAAAGAUUUACUUUAUUCCAAUGUUAUACAACUCUUAGCAACGGAUAUCUCGGUUCUC